ACACUCCUACGGGAGGCAGCAGUGGGGAAUAUUGGACAAUGGGCGCAAGCCUGAUCCAGCCAUGCCGCGUGAGUGAUGAAGGCCCUAGGGUUGUAAAGCUCUUUCACCGGUGAAGAUAAUGACGGUAACCGGAGAAGAAGCCCCGGCUAACUUCGUGCCAGCAGCCGCGGUAAUACGAAGGGGGCUAGCGUUGUUCGGAUUUACUGGGCGUAAAGCGCACGUAGGCGGACUAUUAAGUCAGGGGUGAAAUCCCGGGGCUCAACCCCGGAACUGCCUUUGAUACUGGUAGUCUUGAGUUCGAGAGAGGUGAGUGGAAUUCCGAGUGUAGAGGUGAAAUUCGUAGAUAUUCGGAGGAACACCAGUGGCGAAGGCGGCCCACUGGCUCGAUACUGACGCUGAGGUGCGAAAGCGUGGGGAGCAAACAGGAUUAGAUACCCCGGUAGUCCCAUG
This 450-nucleotide ribosomal RNA is filed under the name uncultured organism. Its description in RNAcentral is "partial 16S ribosomal RNA". It matches the Rfam family "Bacterial small subunit ribosomal RNA", at positions 333 to 799 of the family's 1533-position model. The record is from RNAcentral.